AUGAACGCUAGCGAUAGGCUUAACACAUGCAAGUCGAGGGGCAGCACAAGGUAGCUUGCUAUCUGGGUGGCGACCGGCGCACGGGUGCGUAACGCGUAUGCAACUUGCCCUAUACAGGAGGAUAACCCGUCGAAAGACGGACUAAUACUGCGUAUGCUCACAACUUGGCAUCAAGUGGUGAGGAAAGAAAUUCGGUAUAGGAUAGGCAUGCGUCCCAUUAGCUUGUUGGUGAGGUAACGGCUCACCAAGGCAACGAUGGGUAGGGGAACUGAGAGGUUUAUCCCCCACACUGGUACUGAGACACGGACCAGACUCCUACGGGAGGCAGCAGUGAGGAAUAGUGGUCAAUGGGCGCGAGCCUGAACCAGCCAAGUCGCGUGAAGGAUGACUGUCUUAUGGAUUGUAAACUUCUUUUAUACGGGAAUAACAAGAGUCACGUGUGACUCCCUGCAUGUACCGUAUGAAUAAGCAUCGGCUAACUCCGUG
This 486-nucleotide ribosomal RNA is filed under the name uncultured bacterium. RNAcentral describes it as "partial 16S ribosomal RNA". It matches the Rfam family "Bacterial small subunit ribosomal RNA", at positions 29 to 507 of the family's 1533-position model. The record is from RNAcentral.